This 225-nucleotide ribosomal RNA is filed under the name Hesionidae sp. MB2. Its description in RNAcentral is "partial 16S ribosomal RNA". It matches the Rfam family "Archaeal large subunit ribosomal RNA", at positions 2023 to 2352 of the family's 2987-position model. The record is from RNAcentral. Lineage: Eukaryota; Metazoa; Annelida; Polychaeta; Phyllodocida; Hesionidae.
CCGUGCUAAGGUAGCAUAAUCACUCGCCUUUUAAUUGUAGGCUUGUAUGAAUGGAUAAACGAGAGACCAGCUGUCUCAUAUAAAUAAAUAAAAACUACUCUUCAGGUGAAGAAGCCUGAUUAAAAUUAAAAGACAAGAAGACCCUAUAGAGUUUUACUUCAAUAACACAUAUUUACAAAUAAUAAUGUUUAAAUAAAUGUUAAAUAGUUUAGUUGGGGCGACUUA